UCCCUCAUAGCUCAGUCAGAUAAAGAAUCUGCCUGCAAUGCAGGAGAUCCAGGUUCCAUUCCUGGGUUGGGAA
Molecule: transfer RNA, 73 nt
Filed under: Capra hircus (goat)
Lineage: Eukaryota; Metazoa; Chordata; Mammalia; Artiodactyla; Bovidae
Also listed under: 1 other name
Rfam family: tRNA
About the family: Transfer RNA (tRNA) molecules are approximately 80 nucleotides in length. Their secondary structure includes four short double-helical elements and three loops (D, anti-codon, and T loops).
Source: Rfam by way of RNAcentral